GACGAACCGUGCGAACGUUGUUCGGAAUCACUGGGCUUAAAGGGCGCGUAGGCGGACCACCAAGUCCGGGGUGAGAUCUUUCGGCUCAACCGGAAAACAGCCUUGGAUACUGGCGGUCUCGAGCGAGGUAGGGGCAGCUGGAACUUCCGGUGGAGCGGUGAAAUGCAUUGAUAUCGGAAGGAACGCCGGUGGCGAAAGCGAGCUGCUGGACCUCUCCUGACGCUGAGGCGCGAAAGCCAGGGGAGCAAACGGG
This 253-nucleotide ribosomal RNA is filed under the name uncultured prokaryote. RNAcentral's name for it is "partial 16S ribosomal RNA". It matches the Rfam family "Bacterial small subunit ribosomal RNA", at positions 524 to 776 of the family's 1533-position model. The record is from RNAcentral.